CUCUUCGUGGGCGCUGCGCUUGACGCCGUGACCAAUCACAGGCCACGUCGCGUCGCUGCAGCCAAUCGGAAGAGCCUAGAACAUUAAGACGAGCAUUUGACGGCUCCUCCUCUCUGUUCCAGGGUGCUUAGUGGAUUUAGUUGUUUAUGGUCUAGUUUUGCUACUGUUUCAACACGCUCCGGUUACAUCCGGUGCCAUCGUGGUUCUUGUGAGGCAAGGCCUGAGAAUGCGAAGCGGGGAGUUCCCUGAUGUGGCGAUAUUAUAGGAGCUGUUGGGAUGGUUGGCCUUAGAUAUGUGACCCCGGAGGAGCAUGAAUAAGAGUGUUAAUACGGGGAUACGUCGUUUUUUAAUUCAACGAACCUUUUCUACAAGACCAUUUGUCACUGUGGGGCAAUUAAGGAAACAAGGCGAGGGUGAUUCCAACAUUUCCAAGCCAGAUUGCGUUUUUCCCCUUGUUGUUUUCUUAGUCCAGAUUCCAGCCAAAAGGAAUUACAUUCUUGGAGAUGUUGGAAAAAGAUUCCUGGGACUUCAAAGAUAAUCACUCCAGAUAUACAGGGGAGUGGGAGGAGGGCAAAGCAGAGAGACAUCAUCUUCUGGGCUCUCACUUGGCAAGCCUUGGUUUCUUGAUGGCUGUUGGCUGAAGACUUCAGUGCUCCACCAUGAGAACCUCUCCAUAGGCUGCCUGAGAACUCUCGCAACAUGACAACUAUCUUUCCCCAGAGGGAAUGAUCCAAGAGAGAAAUGCCAAGUUAACAUGUAAGUCGACACAUAUGAGGGUGUGAAUACCAAGAGGUGGGAGAUCAUUGGGGACCAUCUUGGAGGUUGACUAUCACCCUUUACUCUUUCUUUUUUUUUUUUUUUAAACUGCUUCAAUUUAUUGAAUCAAGAGAUUUAACAUUAGACCCUCUGGUCAGAUAAUGAGAAGUAUGAGAGCAUAUGUAUUCAAAUAAGUGCUCUCUUUUCUAAGAUGCACGGUUUCUUGCCCGUGAAUAUAUAAAUUCCAUAAGUGAUGCCACUCCUAUUGGAAAUUUUCUAGAGAAUAUAUAAGAAAGCUUAUUUUAUAGAUAGAGAAUAUUGGACUUUGAUUAUAUAUGUUUUUUUUUCUUGGACCCAUUUCUCCUCUCCCAACUCCUCCUUAGGUGAAGGUGGUUAGAGAAGCUGGAAGUAGACUAUAGAUAGAAAUUGAGUACCCCUAUCCCUGGUAUUUUGCUUGGGGUGCAGACUGUCUUGGAAUGGUUGAAAUUUCUGUUUAGAGUUUUCUAAGGAAUGCAAUCCAAUUACUUAAAGGCACUUACACAUAUAUUUGACAUAGGAUGGAAUAAAGGUAUAAAUACACAGCAGCAGCUUUAGAGCGAUUUGUCCUUUUCCUCAAAAGCUUGAUAUUUAUCCAGUUUGGUGAGUAUAUUUCCUUUUCUUUCUGUUGCUCCCCCCUCCCACCACGGUCUUUUAUCUCUCUUGAUGUGCAAAAUACAGACUUUGCCAAGCCCCUUAUUGGGGCAUUCUGAGCAGAAUGCCCCUAAUUGGUAGAAUUCUAAUUUGUGCCUGAGAUUUGUAAUCUUUUGAGUCUUCUUUUCCCUUAAUUGCUGCUUAAAAGUUCUUUGUUAGCAGUGACAACUCUUUUCCUUUAAAGCUUAAGUGCUUCUGGUUAUUUUGGAGACCUUGUGUAAUAACAAAAAGCAUUACGUAAAAAACAAGAUACAACCAGUUUUGGGAUGUGUUUGUAUUAGGUAUGGUUACCCUUUCCAUGUCAAGCUUAAUAUUAAGACAUUUCUAAGUUAGCAUAAGGUAAUCUGUGCGAAGUAGUUAAAUGAUACACUUGAGAUUAUCUUUGGUAUGAUUUUUCCAAUUGGAAGUAAAAUUGGAGGUGUUACCGGUUCAUGAAAAUUAAAAUUUAUAGAAAUGUGUAUAUAUUAUGUGUUUUUUAAAAAGGGCUAAACAAUGAAAAAACUUAUGACUAAAGCUCAAGUUGAAAAUAGGAAGAAAAUAUAAAUGUCCAAUGAUUAAACUUUUUCCACUGCUGUUCACAUCAUGAUCUGUUGUGAUUAAUGUAUGUGGAUGAGGACAUAAUGGAAAAAGAAAAUCGUAGUGGGAGAAAAAAAUUAUAGAUAUGAUGUAAUUUUUUUGUAUAUUGAUUUACUUGUAAAUGUGUUCCUGUUUUAGGAAUGAAAUUGAAGGGUGUUUUUGUCAGAUUUAUCUGAUAAAGAAUUUGAACAUUUAUAUAGUAAGGUAAGUGGUUUAUAAAUUUGCUAGUUUUGACAAAAGAACGGACAAUCAGAUUUGAGCAAAAAAUUGAUAUUUGAGCAUAAUGUGGACAUUGUACUCAAUUAAAUUUUUUUCCUUAUUUUUUCAUUUUUCAAAGAUAACAAUAUGAUUUCAAAGAUAAUUUUCUGAAUCAAUAGAUUUGAUGCAGGAUAAGCAAUUGGGUGGCUGGGGUUAGGACUUUUAACCUUGAUGAUUAUCUUUUCUCAAAAAUAAUGGUGUAAUUCAUUCAGCCUCUGAGAUUCUUAGAGAUCAUAUAUUCCAGGGUUUAAAUUUGCUGAACUUUUGUAUGUCCUAUAAAUGACUCUUUGAUAUGCCACUGAAUGACCAUCCUAUAACUUAAUCUUUAUUCAAGAACAGUAGAUAAGUAGGUGGUUAGAAGCUGGGAAUCUCAAAUUUAGUACCAGAUUAAUCUGUCACUGAUUAGGCAUGUUGUCUUGGGGUGUUUCAAAUUUGAGGAAUAUAAAGAGGAAAAAUUCUUGCAAAUACUCAGUAUUGAUUUAAGUUUAUUUUCUAUUUCAUAAAUUUCUACAAACCUAAAAGUUGAUAUAAAUUUUGUUGACGGGCCUUAAUCAAAAGAUUUACAAAAUAAGUGCAUUCAAAGACAAAACAUUAAUGGGAUGGAUGCUACUGUUACACAGGAGAAAACAUGGUACUGGCUGGUGUGGAAUAAGUUGUAAAUACAUACAGUCUUGUGCUUUGUGAUGAUUAUAAAGCUUUACAAUCAGGACAACAGUAGAGUUGUCCAGAACUUUACUCUUUUGCAGACCUCAAAAUUGUUGAAAUGAGGGAAGGGGCCUAAGUUCUCAAAAGGAUGUCUUUGGACUGUCUGCAAAUGCUAAUUUGAAGAAUUCUGUAUUACAUUGUCUCCAAACAUUUUUCCAUCUCCAGUGGGAAUUCACUCUGGAACUAACAUUCUUUUGAGAAAAUCUUCAGUUUCUAUUUUGAUCUAUGGUUAAGUUUGGCUAGUAGUUAACUAAAUUGGAUUAAACGUUGAUUAUUUUGUGAACUAAUAUAAGUUUUUCUUUUUAGAUACAGGUGGUCCUUACUUUGCACCGUUCCAUUAUACAUGAAGAUCAGUUUUCACAGUUUAGUUAAAUAACACCAAUCCUCCUACAAUACAGUUGUGAUUUCAGUUACAAUAGUAACUGAAUUGUUGCAUAAGUUUUGUUGCUAGCUCUUUAUUCCACAACUGAUUAUGCAUUAUAAAAGAUGUGCAUCAUGGUCAGUAACCAGUUACAUCACAUCUUUCAAAGUCUCUUGGUGAUUGAUCACUAAACAUCUAUUAGUUCAGGGAGUAAAGCAUGUAGUUGUAUUGCUUACUUGUUUCCCAGUAAUAAACCCAUGCAACAUUGUACAAAACUGGAUAAUCAGAAGAGGGAAUUGGCAGGGCAGCAAAGAAACAAGUGAUUUUUAACACUGGAAGUGAAAUUGGAUUUGAAAAUGGCGACAGCAUAGUGAAGACGAGACCCAGGCCUACAUAAAGCUGCAGCAGAAACUGGUUUAAAAGUUCGAGGAAUAUAAAAAGCAAAGUAAAGUUGCUUCAACAUUUUUUAGUUUAAAUUACACUAGGAACAGAAAGCCACUUACAGUUGAAAUGGAGUGCUUGCUUCUACUUUGGAUGGAGGACUGUAAUAAAAAAUCCUAAUCAGUUUGGCUAGCAUUCAGGCCAGAGUGUUGAGGUUAGUUGCUGCACUGAAGGAAAAUGGUAAUUACCAGGAGACUAAAAAAGAACAUUUUUUGCUGGGAAAGGCUGGUUUCAUCGUUCAGAAGUCUGGAGCGCCUGUGUGGCUCAGUCGGUUAAGGUUAAGCAUCGUUUGGAGGUCGGCGUGAAUGGAAUAAUGUUCCACUGGUGAAGCUGCAUGUUCAGAUAAGGAUGCUACUGGGAAAUUUGCACCCAUGUUCCAAGAAUCACAGGCAGUCCUUGCUUUGCACAGUGGUAUGAGAUUACUGUGCAAAACUUCAUAGGAUUUGGCUGGAAUGUAAAUGGAGUUCCGGAAGAUAUGACUGUGGGAAUGUUUACACUGCUGCCAUUCAGGAAGUAGUUCUGGAUAUACAGCCAGAAGGUGCUGCUUCAGCAGCACAUACACUAAAAUUGGAUAUAUAGCUAGAAGAAUUUAGUGAAGGUGAACAUAGUUAUAAAUGAGGAAAGCAGUUGUGUGUUGUGAAGGAUGAAUACAUUUGGAGGAAGUGAUUCAGGUGAAAAACCACAUUAAAGGAACUCUGAGAUGUUUCAUGACACUGUGCAAAGCAUUAAACGUUAGAAACAGAUCAAGCUCAGAAAAGAGGAUGACAAUUUGCCAAGGCAUAGGAAAGAUGCUUGCUCCAUAUUGUAAGUUAUAUGAGAAAGCAAGCACUGUUCAAACUACUUGAGACUUGUUUAUAAAGAAAUAAAACAUUCUAAUUUUCAAUGUU
This is a long non-coding RNA of Prionailurus viverrinus (fishing cat), 4674 nucleotides long. RefSeq lists it as uncharacterized. The transcript is spliced from 5 exons. NCBI's taxonomy places the organism in Eukaryota, Metazoa, Chordata, Mammalia, Carnivora, Felidae. The record is from RefSeq and is a predicted model, not a curated record.